This is an RNA transcript of Dendrobium catenatum, 2110 nucleotides long. It is a transcript of the gene named zinc finger CCCH domain-containing protein 40, with no coding region annotated. NCBI's taxonomy places the organism in Eukaryota, Viridiplantae, Streptophyta, Magnoliopsida, Asparagales, Orchidaceae. The record is from RefSeq and is a predicted model, not a curated record. The transcript has 6 exons.
AAAAUAUCUAUCUUCAACAUCAACAGGCGCAAGGAUCGUCCUGAGCUUCUCCAUCUACUCUCUCUCUCUCUGACUCUGUCUCCAUCAAUCUGAUGGCACAUCGACUUCUACGCGACGCCCAGGCCGACGGGUGGGAGCGCUCCGACUUUCCGAUCAUCUGCGAGUCCUGUCUCGGUGAUAACCCUUACGUUCGAAUGACCAUAGCACACUAUGACAAGGAGUGCAAGAUUUGCACCAGGCCUUUCACGGUCUUCAGGUGGAGGCCAGGCCGAGAUGCGCGCUUUAAGAAGACUGAGAUUUGCCAGACAUGUAGUAAGCUGAAAAAUGUAUGUCAGGUUUGCCUCUUGGAUCUGGAAUAUGGUUUGCCCGUACAGGUUCGCGAUACUGCACUUGCUAUCAAUUCCAAUGAUGCCAUUCCGAAGAGUGAUGUUAACAGGGAGUACUUUGCUGAAGAGCAUGACCGAAGGGCAAGAGCUGGAAUAGAUUAUGAGUCCUCUUAUGGGAAGAUGCAUCCAAAUGAUACCAUUCUAAAGCUUCAAAGGACAACACCAUAUUACAAGAGAAACCGUGCACAUGUUUGCAGUUUUUAUGUGCGUGGAGAGUGUACUCGAGGUGCUGAGUGCCCUUAUCGGCAUGAAAUGCCUAUGACUGGGGAGUUGUCACAGCAAAACAUAAAAGAUCGAUAUUAUGGUGUGAAUGAUCCUGUUGCCCUUAAACUUCUGGGAAAGGCUGGCGAGAUGCCCUCUCUAUCUCCUCCUGAUGAUGAAAGCAUAAAAACACUUUAUGUUGGCGGUCUUGAUGCCCGAAUCACUGAGCAGGAUCUUAGGGAUCACUUCUAUGCCCAUGGAGAGAUUGAGUCCAUUAGGAUGGUUUCCCAGCGUGCAUGUGCCUUUGUGUCCUACACCAACCGAGAAGGAGCUGAGAAGGCCGCUGAGGAACUCUCUAACAAGCUUGUAAUAAAGGGCCUUCGCCUAAAACUAAUGUGGGGGAAACCCCAAGUACAAAAAACAGAGUUGGAGAAUGCAGAUGAUGAAGCAGCUCACCAAAGUCUUGUGGCACAUGGUGGCUUACUCCCAAGGGCAGUUAUAUCACAGCAGCAGAGCAGUCUGCAGCCUCACCCUCCAGGAACCCAUGAGCAUAAUAACCAGCAAAUGCCCAUGCAUUACUUCAACAUCCCCCCUCCAUUGCCAUCAGAGAGGACCUUCUACCCAUCCAUGGAUCCACAGAGGAUGGGAGCGGCUGUGCCCGUGCCCUCUUCUCAGGAACCGAGCGAUGGCAAGGCUGGAUUAGAUAGGCAGACCAGAGGCGCAGAAGGUUCUUCCCAGAUAUAUCCAGGGCCUCCCCCACAGAUGCAAGGCCAGUACCCACCUUAUUAUCCACCCUAUGCUUAUAUGGCACCUCCCCCGCCUCAUUACCAGCAUCAACAAUACCAUCCAUAUCAGCAGAUGAUGUUGCCUCCACGGACGCCACAGCCAGUGCCACAACAGCCACAACCUUCUGCCAGUCUUCUGCACCAGAAUGCUGGUGCUGCUGCAUCUUCAUCCCAGAAUUGAUGCUUCACUUGCUUUAAACUAUAUUCCAAGAAGAGCACUCAGGCUCAUGAUCAUGGCGCCUUCGAAGAAGCAAUCUGUUGCCAUGGACUAGCUAGGAUCAGUGUGAACUGUGAAGUAAUGGAGAUAACCAUGGCCACCCACUACUGUCUUUUACAUCGCCUGCUGCAGCUCAGUUUAGCCAUGGAUGAUGAAGGUUCCACAGGUUAUGACGACGGAGCUUCUGCUCCUCCCUGCGAACCCGGUCUAUGAAUGUGGUGUAAGGGAGGUCUCUGGUAAACUUGACCUGUAAGCCAUUGAUCACGCCACUGAUAAUUGUUUCAAUCUCCUGUUAUCAUUUAAGAAGUUAGUAGAUGAUGAUAUGAUCCAUGCCAUGUAAGGUGCUCCGGCAGUAAGGAAAUUUUUACUUGCUGUAAAGUUUAAAGUGUCAUUAAUCUCUCCUUCAUGCGUGUUAAAAGGGUAAGAUAUUUUGAUAUUAGUAUGCGUAUGAAGUUCAGAUAUUUAUUUGACAUAAAAUGAAUUCAAACAUGGCUGAAAAGUGGGUCUUCUUUUAGAACUCA